Molecule: regulatory RNA element, 99 nt
Rfam family: Pyrrolysine insertion sequence mttB
Source: Rfam
UAGCCGAUGCCAAGCUGCCUGACAUGCAGGCCGGAUGGGAAAUGAUGUGCUCGAACGUCAUGGCGGGGCUUUCGGGCCUCAACAUGGUGUAUGAAGCCG